GACGAACGCUGGCGGCGUGCUUAACACAUGCAAGUCGAACGGGCCUGUCUUCUUUUUUGGGGGUGGGUUGAGUGGCGAACGGGUGAGUAUCACGUGAGUAACCUGCCCUUCGGUCCUGGAUAACCGCUUGAAAGGGCGGCUAAUACGGGGUGGUCCGGUUGGUCCGCAUGGGCUGGUCGGGAUAGAUUCACUGUUUUUGGUGUUUCGGCGGGGGAUGGGCUCGCGGCCUAUCAGCUUGUUGGUGGGGUGAUGGCCUACCAAGGCGGUGACGGGUAGCUGGCCUGAGAGGGUGGGCGGCCACACUGGGACUGAGAUACGGCCCAGACUCCUGCGGGAGGCAGCAGUGGGGGGUAUUGCACAAUGGGCGGAAGCCUGAUGCAGCGACGUCGCGUGAGGGAUGGAGGCCUUCGGGUUGUGAACCUCUGUUUCCGGUGGUGAAGGCCCUGUCCGUGUGGUGGGGUUGACGGUAGCCGGGGAUGAAGCGCCGGCUAACUACGUG
RNAcentral lists this ribosomal RNA (499 nucleotides) under uncultured bacterium. RNAcentral describes it as "partial 16S ribosomal RNA". It matches the Rfam family "Bacterial small subunit ribosomal RNA", at positions 28 to 507 of the family's 1533-position model. The record is from RNAcentral.